UGAGGAACAUGACCUUCGGCGGGGGAUAGCCGGCCCAACGGCCGGGUAAUACCGCGUACGACCAUUUGGGGACAUCCCCGAGUGGUGAAAGCAGCAAUGCGCCGAUGGAGUGCCUCGCGGCCUAUCAGCUAGUUGGUGAGGUAACGGCUCACCAAGGCAACGAUGCGUAGCCGACCUGAGAGGGUGAUCGGCCACAUUGGAACUGAGACACGGUCCAGACUCCUACGGGAGCAG
This 234-nucleotide ribosomal RNA is filed under the name uncultured bacterium. Its description in RNAcentral is "partial 16S ribosomal RNA". It matches the Rfam family "Bacterial small subunit ribosomal RNA", at positions 118 to 347 of the family's 1533-position model. The record is from RNAcentral.